UACGUAGGUGGCAAGCGUUGUCCGGAUUUAUUGGGCGUACAGGGCGCGCAGGCGGUUCGUUUAGUCCGAGGUGAAAUCUCCUGGCUCAACUGGGAGAGGUCUUCGGAUACUGGCGGGCUUGAGGAGAGCAGAGGUGAGCGGAAUUCUGGGUGUAGUGGUGAAAUGCGUAGAUAUCCAGAGGAACACCAGUGGCGAAGGCGGCUCACUGGGCUCCACCUGACGCUGAGGCGCGAAAGCGUGGGGAGCGAACCGG
Molecule: ribosomal RNA, 253 nt
Filed under: uncultured bacterium
Lineage: Bacteria
Description: partial 16S ribosomal RNA
Rfam family: Bacterial small subunit ribosomal RNA
Source: RNAcentral